UACGUAGGUGGCAAGCGUUGUUCGGAUUUACUGGGCGUAAAGGGCGCGUAGGCGGUCAGCACAAGUCAGUUGUGAAAUCUCCGGGCUUAACUCGGAAAGGUCAACUGAUACUGUGCGACUAGAGUGCAGAAGGGGCAACUGGAAUUCUCGGUGUAGCGGUGAAAUGCGUAGAUAUCGAGGGGAACACCUGCGGCGAAGGCGGGUUGCUGGGCUGACACUGACGCUGAUGCGCGAAAGCCAGGGAGCGAACGGG
Molecule: ribosomal RNA, 253 nt
Filed under: uncultured bacterium
Lineage: Bacteria
Description: partial 16S ribosomal RNA
Rfam family: Bacterial small subunit ribosomal RNA
Source: RNAcentral